GACAGAGGUCCCGAGCGUUAGGCGGAAUCACUGGGCUUAAAGCGUGUGUAGGCGGCGGCCUAAGUACCUUGUGAAAUCCCACGGCUCACCCGUGGAACUGCUCGGUAUACUGGGUCGCUUGAGCCACUUAGGGGCUACCGGAACAAAUGGUGGAGCGGUGAAAUGCGUAGAUAUCAAGAGGAAUACCUGAGGUGAAGACGGGUUGCUAGGCCGACACUGACGCUGAAGCGCGAAAGCCAGGGGAGCAAACGGG
This 253-nucleotide ribosomal RNA is filed under the name uncultured bacterium. Its description in RNAcentral is "partial 16S ribosomal RNA". It matches the Rfam family "Bacterial small subunit ribosomal RNA", at positions 524 to 776 of the family's 1533-position model. The record is from RNAcentral.